RNAcentral lists this ribosomal RNA (434 nucleotides) under uncultured Clostridium sp. RNAcentral's name for it is "partial 16S ribosomal RNA". It matches the Rfam family "Bacterial small subunit ribosomal RNA", at positions 341 to 792 of the family's 1533-position model. The record is from RNAcentral. Lineage: Bacteria; Bacillati; Bacillota; Clostridia; Eubacteriales; Clostridiaceae.
ACGGGAGGCAGCAGUGGGGAAUAUUGCACAAUGGGGGAAACCCUGAUGCAGCGACGCCGCGUGAGUGAAGAAGUAUUUCGGUAUGUAAAGCUCUAUCAGCAGGGAAGAAAAUGACGGUACCUGACUAAGAAGCCCCGGCUAACUACGUGCCAGCAGCCGCGGUAAUACGUAGGGGGCAAGCGUUAUCCGGAUUUACUGGGUGUAAAGAGAGCGUAGACGGUAAUGCAAGUCAGAAGUGAAAGCCCAGGGCUCAACCUUGGGACUGCUUUUGAAACUGUAAUACUAGAGUGCAGGAGAGGUAAGUGGAAUUCCUAGUGUAGCGGUGAAAUGCGUAGAUAUUAGGAGGAACACCAGUGGCGAAGGCGGCUUACUGGACUGUAACUGACGUUGAGGCUCGAAAGCGUGGGGAGCAAACAGGAUUAGAUACCCUGGUA